UUGGCUCAGGAUGAACGCUGGCGGCAGGCUUAACACAUGCAAGUCGAACGGAAUAUAGUGUGCUUGCACAUUAUAUCAGUGGCGCACGGGUGAGUAGCGCGUAGGUAUCUGUCUGUUGGAGUUGGAUAGCUUCUGGAAACGGAAGGUAAAACAGCAUAAGCCCUGAGGGGGAAAGUAAUAAGAUUAGCCGAUAGAGGAGCCUGCGUUAGAUUAGGCAGUUGGUGGGGUAAUGGCCUACCAAACCGACGAUCUAUAGCUGGUCUGAGAGGAUGAUCAGCCACAUUGGGACUGAGACACGGCCCAGACUCCUACGGGAGGCAGCAGUGGGGAAUA
This 333-nucleotide ribosomal RNA is filed under the name uncultured rumen bacterium. Its description in RNAcentral is "bacterial SSU rRNA". It matches the Rfam family "Bacterial small subunit ribosomal RNA", at positions 19 to 363 of the family's 1533-position model. The record is from RNAcentral.